AGCGAACGCUGGCGGCAGGCUUAACACAUGCAAGUCGAGCGGGCGUAGCAAUACGUCAGCGGCAGACGGGUGAGUAACGCGUGGGAACGUACCUUUUGGUUCGGAACAACCCAGGGAAACUUGGGCUAAUACCGGAUAAGCCCUUACGGGGAAAGAUUUAUCGCCAAAAGAUCGGCCCGCGUCUGAUUAGCUAGUUGGUGAGGUAACGGCUCACCAAGGCGACGAUCAGUAGCUGGUCUGAGAGGAUGAUCAGCCACAUUGGGACUGAGGCACGGCCCAAACUCCUACGGGAGGCAGCAGGUGGGGAAUAUUGGACAAUGGGCGCAAGCCUGAUCCAGCCAUGCCGCGUGAGUGAUGAAGGCCCUAGGGUUGUAAAGCUCUUUUGUGCGGGAAGAUAAUGACGGUACCGCAAGAAUAAGCCCCGGCUAACUUCGUGCCAGCCGCCGCAGUAA
RNAcentral lists this ribosomal RNA (452 nucleotides) under uncultured bacterium. RNAcentral's name for it is "bacterial SSU rRNA". It matches the Rfam family "Bacterial small subunit ribosomal RNA", at positions 29 to 523 of the family's 1533-position model. The record is from RNAcentral.